GCUGGGUGUGGUGGCACAUGCCUGUAAUCCCAGCAGCUUGGGAGGCUGAGACAGGAGGAUCAAAGCCUGCCUCAGCAAUGGUGAGGCACUAAGUAACUCAGUUGAGGCCCUGUCUCUA
RNAcentral lists this small RNA (118 nucleotides) under Marmota monax (woodchuck). Lineage: Eukaryota; Metazoa; Chordata; Mammalia; Rodentia; Sciuridae. The record is from RNAcentral.